This is a non-coding RNA of Caenorhabditis elegans, 21 nucleotides long. NCBI's taxonomy places the organism in Eukaryota, Metazoa, Nematoda, Chromadorea, Rhabditida, Rhabditidae. The record is from Ensembl.
UGGUGCUUCAACAUUUUCCCA